Molecule: long non-coding RNA, 240 nt
Organism: Hibiscus syriacus
Lineage: Eukaryota; Viridiplantae; Streptophyta; Magnoliopsida; Malvales; Malvaceae
Exons: 3
Source: RefSeq, a predicted model, not a curated record
CCGCCGCCGCGGCAACCGUAAUCGCAAGGAGAGGCCUUGUUUUAUCAGCCGUGGCUUCCACUCCCCAGCUCAGUGAUUCCGGAACCGAGCUUCUCGAAAGGUAUUUGAAGAAAUCAGAGGAAAACAAAGCCAAUAAUGACAAAGAGAGAAUGGAGAACUAUUACAGGCGAAACUACAAGGACUACUUUGAAUUCGUGUAAGGGACAUUGAAAGGGAAGGAGGAACAACAGCCAACUGAGG